CUGCUGCCCUGCACACGGUGUCACUGGGGCACCGCUGAGCCUGCUGCCCUGCACACGGUGUCUUUUGUUUUAACUUGCCACCAUUUCUGAUUCAUGCACUGGAUAAAAUGUUGGUAGAAAUCUACCUGUGCCUGUUCCAAAUUCUCUUGAGAAAUGACUAUUGCUGCUGACAGAUCCCUUGGAAAAGGUGGGAGCAGGUUUUGCACAGAGAAGCAGAUUUUGCUAACCAGAGCUGCACUGUCCUGAUGACGAAUUAAUUCUGUCUUCCACCCACACAACACGUACAGCUCGUAAUAUGGAGGAGUCAGCCACAAGAGAAGAAAAAACAGACAACCAAUUGUACAAUCCAAGCCCCUUCCUAAAAUGAUCCAAACUCAUCCUUUGUACAGAAGUACUGGAAGCUGGGUUCUUACUCUGGGAAGAGCAUCAUCAAAGCACUCCUAAAGAACUGUAUUUCCCUUGGUGCUGAGGAUGAAUAAUGUUCUUCACCUGGUGGAAGGAAACUCGGGCCGCAACAGUAGUCCAGUGGAUGAUGGAUGAGGAGCUGCACUGUGGGAUGCAGUCCCAGAAGUCAGCCAUCGGAGCUCAGCAUGUUCUUCUGGCACUGCUUCUUGCUCUUGUUGCUUGUGGGAGAUUGCCAAGAAACAAUCAUAAAUAACCAGGAGAGAAAGAACUGUCUUACCUCACAGUCAGCUUUUGCACAUACUCUUGUCUUCACUUGGACCUAGAAGCUCUUUCUAGAGUAGUUCAGUCUCUUCCAGAGAAAACAAAGUGUUACCAAAGAGCAGGGACUCUUCUGAAAGGAUGUGGAAUGCCUUUUGACAGGUAUUACACUAAAACUCUAUGAAAGACUUGUAACAUUUUUUGUCAUUUUAAGCAGGCAGCCAGGAUGUGAAAUACAGUGGAUAACAGAUACCUUUCCCAGUUCCUGGAAUGGAAGCUACUUAGGGCUUACCUGGAAGAGAUGUUCACCCAGAACCAUGAGACAGGUGUCAUUGCUGCAGUUCUCCUCACCUGCUGAAACAUGGGAGCCAAAGGCUUCAUCAACCAGAAGCCCACCAGGCCCAGAGAACAGCAACCUCGACCAUCAGUGCCCAGAAAGCAACAAGAAGCCCUUGGGGCAGUCCACAAUAUUAUAUGAUUACUCAGAGGAGGAGCUCAUGGCAAGCAUCGAGCGGGAGUACUGCCGCUGA
Molecule: long non-coding RNA, 1193 nt
Filed under: Catharus ustulatus (Swainson's thrush)
Lineage: Eukaryota; Metazoa; Chordata; Aves; Passeriformes; Turdidae
Description: lncRNA (ENSCUSG00005000958.1)
Source: RNAcentral